UGGGGAAUAUUGGACAAUGGGGGCAACCCUGAUCCAGCAAUGCCGCGUGUGUGAAGAAGGUUUUCGGAUUGUAAAGCACUUUCGACGGGGACGAUGAUGACGGUACCCGUAGAAGAAGCCCCGGCUAACUUCGUGCCAGCAGCCGCGGUAAUACGAAGGGGGCUAGCGUUGCUCGGAAUGACUGGGCGUAAAGGGCGUGUAGGCGGUUUGUACAGUCAGAUGUGAAAAUCCCCGGGCUUAACCUGGGAGCUGCAUUUGAUACGUGCAGACUAGAGUGUGAGAGAGGGUUGUGGAAUUCCCAGUGUAGAGGUGAAAUUCGUAGAUAUUGGGAAGAACACCGGUGGCGAAGGCGGCAACCUGGCUCAUAACUGACGCUGAGGCGCGAAAGCGUGGGGAGCAAACAGGAUUAGAUACCCUGGUAGUCCACGCUGUAAACGAUGUGUGCUAGAUGUUGGGUAACUUAGUUAUUCAGUGUCGCAGUUAACGCGUUAAGCACACCGCCUGGGGAGUACGGCCGCAAGGUUGAA
This 527-nucleotide ribosomal RNA is filed under the name uncultured bacterium. RNAcentral describes it as "partial 16S ribosomal RNA". It matches the Rfam family "Bacterial small subunit ribosomal RNA", at positions 355 to 898 of the family's 1533-position model. The record is from RNAcentral.